This 104-nucleotide small nuclear RNA is filed under the name Peromyscus maniculatus bairdii (prairie deer mouse). Lineage: Eukaryota; Metazoa; Chordata; Mammalia; Rodentia; Cricetidae. The record is from RNAcentral.
GUACUUGCUUCUGCAGCACACAUACUGAGAUUAGAACAAUGUAGAGACUGCCACAGCCCUUGAGCAAAGAUGAUACAGAAAUUCAUGAAGCACUCCUUUUUUAA